This 613-nucleotide long non-coding RNA is filed under the name Chinchilla lanigera (long-tailed chinchilla). Its description in RNAcentral is "lncRNA (ENSCLAG00000028036.1)". Lineage: Eukaryota; Metazoa; Chordata; Mammalia; Rodentia; Chinchillidae. The record is from RNAcentral.
CCGGGCCAGACCAUGGACAUCCCCUAGCAAGGCGGUUCAGAACUCUUGCCUCCUUUUGGCACGAUGGCCAGCAGGGAUCCAGAACGUUUCGUAAUGUGGGUGCUUUCCCCUCCCUGGUCCCACAUGUGUGCAAAGCACGACUGAGAAAUGAACUGUGUGGUCUGAAGUCACUGAGCUGUUGGGCCUGUUUGUCUCUGCAGUACAACCUAGCUUCUCCUGACCAUGGUGAAUCACACCUUCCUUUUACAGGGUCUCUUAAGAUUGUUCUGCAGUUCCCAGAGAGCCAGGACCACAGCCCCUCCGCAAGGGGAGACUCCAGGGAGAGCCAGCCCGCACCGCUGGAGGCACCUCCACGCCAGCCUCAGCACUUUCUGGCCUGACCAGUUAACUCAACACUUACUCUACAUUAAAUACCAAUCGGACCAAUUUUCUGCUGUAAUUAAACCUCUGCAGAUGCGUUACUUGCUCAGCAGUGAUGAGUUUAUUAACCUCAUUUCCUUCCUGUGGGGGCAGGGAAGAAAGUAGAACAAAAAAAAAACAAAAAAGAGUUCGCCAUGAAUUUGGGUGAAGAGAUGCCAGGAGAGACUGGGUUUUGGAGCUAGCACAGUUUCUU